This 253-nucleotide ribosomal RNA is filed under the name uncultured bacterium. Its description in RNAcentral is "partial 16S ribosomal RNA". It matches the Rfam family "Bacterial small subunit ribosomal RNA", at positions 524 to 776 of the family's 1533-position model. The record is from RNAcentral.
UACGGAGGGUGCAAGCGUUAAUCGGAAUUACUGGGCGUAAAGCGCGCGUAGGCGGCUAUUUAAGCUAGAUGUGAAAUCCCCGGGCUUAACCUGGGACGUGCAUUUAGAACUGGAUAGCUAGAGUACAGAAGAGGAGUGUGGAAUUUCAGGUGUAGCGGUGAAAUGCGUAGAGAUCUGAAGGAACACCAGUGGCGAAGGCGACACUCUGGUCUGAUACUGACGCUGAGGUGCGAAAGCGUGGGGAGCAAACAGG